This 517-nucleotide ribosomal RNA is filed under the name uncultured bacterium. Its description in RNAcentral is "bacterial SSU rRNA". It matches the Rfam family "Bacterial small subunit ribosomal RNA", at positions 8 to 518 of the family's 1533-position model. The record is from RNAcentral.
AGAGUUUGAUUCUGGCUCAGGAUGAACGCUAGCGACAGGCUUAACACAUGCAAGUCGAGGGGCAGCACGGGAGUAGCAAUACUUGGUGGCGACCGGCGCACGGGUGAGUAACGCGUAUGCAACCUACCUAUCAGAGGGGAAUAACCCGGCGAAAGUCGGACUAAUACCGCAUAAAACAGGGGCACCGCAUGGUGAUAUUUGUUAAAGAAAUUCGCUGAUAGAUGGGCAUGCGUUCCAUUAGGUAGUUGGUGAGGUAACGGCUCACCAAGCCGACGAUGGAUAGGGGAACUGAGAGGUUGGUCCCCCACACUGGUACUGAGACACGGACCAGACUCCUACGGGAGGCAGCAGUGAGGAAUAUUGGUCAAUGGGCGGGAGCCUGAACCAGCCAAGUCGCGUGAAGGAAGAAGGAUCUAUGGUUCGUAAACUUCUUUUGCAGGGGAAUAAAGUGCAGGACGUGUCCUGUUUUGUAUGUACCCUGAGAAUAAGGAUCGGCUAACUCCGUGCCAGCCGCCGC